Molecule: long non-coding RNA, 287 nt
Filed under: Anas platyrhynchos platyrhynchos (common mallard)
Lineage: Eukaryota; Metazoa; Chordata; Aves; Anseriformes; Anatidae
Description: lncRNA (ENSAPLG00000029282.1)
Source: RNAcentral
UAUUUCUAUCCAUUCUCUCUUUUAGAUGCUUAAGAGGAUGGCAAUGUAGUUGCUGUAGUAGAAGUGUGACUACUUUAUUUGCUUUAAUGUGGUUUGGAGGGCUAGACUGGAGAAGGAAGCACAGAGGGAAGUUUUUUCUCCUUCAGCGUUGUCUUGAUGUCUUUUCCCUGGCUCUGUGGAUCCUCUGGAAGGUCUCACAGCUGCACCAUCAAACAAUUCAGAUACUGGAAAAUAAUAUUUCCCACCUAAAAUUAGAUAGCCAUCUGCAUUUGCUAAGGAAGGAAUAA